UACGGAGGAUCCAAGCGUUAUCCGGAUUUAUUGGGUUUAAAGGGUGCGUAGGUGGUUCAUUAAGUCAGGGGGUGAAAGACGGCAGCUUAACUGUCGCAGUGCCUUUGAUACUGAUGAACUUGAAUGAACUAGAGGUAGGCGGAAUGUGACAAGUAGCGGUGAAAUGCAUAGAUAUGUCACAGAACACCAAUUGCGAAGGCAGCUUACUAUGGUUUGAUUGACACUGAGGCACGAAAGCGUGGGGAUCAAACAGG
RNAcentral lists this ribosomal RNA (254 nucleotides) under uncultured bacterium. RNAcentral describes it as "partial 16S ribosomal RNA". It matches the Rfam family "Bacterial small subunit ribosomal RNA", at positions 524 to 776 of the family's 1533-position model. The record is from RNAcentral.